Molecule: long non-coding RNA, 426 nt
Filed under: Numida meleagris (helmeted guineafowl)
Lineage: Eukaryota; Metazoa; Chordata; Aves; Galliformes; Numididae
Description: lncRNA (ENSNMEG00000003022.1)
Source: RNAcentral
GUGGUGAGUGGUGGGGUCAGGGGUCAGAGGUCACAGGGUGAGUGGUGGGGUCAGGGGGAUGUGGGGUGAGGGGAGGUGGGCUCCUGCUGCUGCAGGCGCUCUGCGGGGUCAGAGGUCACGGGGUCAGGGGUCACAGGGGGUCAUGGGGCAGGUAGUGGGGUCACAAGGUCAUGGCAGUGUAGGGUCCUGCUGCCGCAGCUGCUCUCUGGGGUCAGAGGUCAGGGGUCACAGGGUGAUCAGUGGGGUCACGAGGUCAUGGGUGUGUAGGGUCAGGCUGCUUUGUGGGGUCAGAGGUCAUGGGUCACAGGGUCAGGGGUCACAGGGUGAGCAGUGGGGUCAGGGGUCGUGGGGAGGUGGGGUCCUGCAGCUGUAGGCGCUCUGUGGGUCAGGGGUCAGAGGUCACAGGGGUGAAUAACGGGGUCACAG